RNAcentral lists this ribosomal RNA (444 nucleotides) under uncultured bacterium. RNAcentral's name for it is "SSU rRNA". It matches the Rfam family "Bacterial small subunit ribosomal RNA", at positions 26 to 518 of the family's 1533-position model. The record is from RNAcentral.
AGAACGAACGCUGGCGGCAGGCCUAAUACAUGCAAGUCGAACGCACUCUUCGGAGUGAGUGGCAGACGGGUGAGUAACGCGUGGGAACCUUCCCAAUGGUACGGAAUAACUCCGGGAAACCGGUGCUAAUACCGUAUAAGCCCCUCGGGGGAAAGAUUUAUCGCCAUUGGAUGGGCCCGCGUCUGAUUAGCUAGUUGGUAGGGUAAUGGCUUACCAAGGCUACGAUCCGUAGCUGGUCUGAGAGGAUGAUCAGCCACACUGGGACUGAGACACGGCCCAGACUCCUACGGGAGGCAGCAGUAGGGAAUCUUGGACAAUGGGCGAAAGCCUGAUCCAGCCAUGCCGCGUGAGUGAAGAAGGCCUUAGGGUUGUAAAGCUCUUUUGGCGGGACGAUAAUGACGGUACCCGCAGAAUAAGCCCGGCUAACUUCGUGCCAGCAGCCGC